RNAcentral lists this non-coding RNA (27 nucleotides) under Homo sapiens (human). Lineage: Eukaryota; Metazoa; Chordata; Mammalia; Primates; Hominidae. The record is from RNAcentral.
UAGUGGCGAAUGAGCUUGAUGCAGGAC